CUAUGUCUCUCUCUUCAAAGAACCAAAUCAUCGAUUGCACUACUAGAUAAAUACAAUAAAUCAUCUUACAUUUUCCAAAGGUGAGUUGCCUUGAAUACACAGAUUCUCUUUGAGAUUAAUAUAACAUCAUAUCAAAUAGGCAACACCGAAAAGGGCACCCACAAAAUAUUAAUAAAAAACUAAUGUACAAAACUCCAAAGACUAGUUUUUCUCAAUCUCCUCCAAAUUACAAUUACAACGGGAGGACCUGAGUGACACAAAACAAAUUGUAAGACUCUAGGAACCUAACAAGAGACAUGUUCAUUUUUUCAACGCCAAGUCCUUUUUUUAUUGAUCACAAGGAAUAACAACAGAAAAGACACUCUUGUUGCACGAUACCAGACUCUGAAAACAAACAUCCAUAGAUCACUUGUAUAUAUACAGAUAGUACUCUAACAGCAUGAUUAGCCCCUCUUUCCAAACAAAAAUUAGUCACCAGCUAUUUGACCUUCAUUGACUUUUAGUCCUCUACCAUCUUUUCUCUGCUUCUGUAUUAGUUUUCUCUCUUUUCUUUUAUUUUUUCUUUUGUGCAAAAAUGGAUUAUGCCACAGCAGAGAUGCUGCAGCUGCUCCUAUCUCUGUUAAGACAGUCAAAACCUUCUAUCCUCACAGCAGCUGGAGUCUGACCAAAUUUCAUUGGAACACAGCCUCGAGCUGAGGAAGAGGAUGCCUCGGUAAAUGGACUAAAAUUCCCAUUACCAAAUUGCUCAUCUUGAAUUACAGGAUUCGAGGCCCUACUUGGAGGAGAUCCACAGAAAAACGGUGGUGAUGAUGCUACCACUUGCCCUCCUGAUCUUGUCAGGUAGCAGCUUUCCUGACAAAAACAAAUCAAAGAAUAAGUCUUUGGUUAGAUUACUUCAUUUCAAUCAAGUCCCAGAUAUUGAUCACAAGGAUACCAUCAUACAUAAGUCCUCAUCAUAAAUCAUUAUCACUACAAAUUGAUUCAAUGCUUAUUUAUUUGGACUCAAUUCGUUACACUUGCUCACAUUCCAAUCAAAUGUUUGUGGUCCAAAUUAACUUUUACAAACAUCCCAAAUGACAUUCAAUAGGUUAAAAUAAAAAUCAGUUUUAUUUAACUGUAAAAUAAAGGUAACUUUGAAGUAUUACAAGAAGUCAACUUUAAUAAUACAAGUUUUUUUUUUUGCUCUCUUUAUGAGGGAAAAACUUGCUCUACAGAAAUCAAAACUGUAGUAACCUUUGAUAGUAAAUUGUCCCCCCCAGAAAUUGAUUUGAGGCGAGAAAACAUCUUUUUAUCAUAUGAUAACAGCUGUUUCUCAGAGAAAUACUUGUAAAAGGAAAAAAUUGUUAUCAUUUUUUCCUCAAAAAAAAUAGGCAAAUUUCAUACCAUUUCUGUACUCUAAUUUGUGUUUCCUAGUACAUAACAAAAUAACAAAAGAGUAACAUAGAAAAGAACCUUGGGAAGAAUGAUGUCCAAAAGCUCUGCCCCGACUCCUGAAUCUUCCACCUCAGAUUGAUAGCUGCAUUUUUUUAACAACAAAAAAAAAAGUCAGAAUUUUUAUGACAAAAUUGGCUUCAAACCACAAAUAAGAAUGGCUAAAAAGGAAAAGGAAGAGAGAAUUACCUGAUGGGGUGCCUAAAGGGUCUGAUGUGUGUGUUGAUGGAAGAGUGGUUCAUGAGACCUACUCGCCGAGGUUUGGGGCAAAUCACUGAUUCCAUCCUCAUCUCCUCACAGCUUGUGAAGGUGUUCUUCUCUUGGUAUCCAUAAUAGCUGUAGCUAUUCAUCUUUUCACAGAUCUUGACAAGGAAC
This 1806-nucleotide long non-coding RNA is filed under the name Vigna radiata. RNAcentral describes it as "long non-coding RNA (VRAD_LNC007572)". Lineage: Eukaryota; Viridiplantae; Streptophyta; Magnoliopsida; Fabales; Fabaceae. The record is from RNAcentral.